AACGAACGCUGGCGGCGCGCCUAAUACAUGUAAGUCGAGCGAGAAGACGUAGCAAUACGUUUGUAAAGCGGCGAACGGGUGAGGAAUACAUGGGUAACCUACCCUCGAGUGGGGAAUAACUAGCCGAAAGGUUAGCUAAUACCGCGUACGCUCCUUGGACUUCGGUUCAGGGAGGAAAGCGAUACCGUGGGUAUCGCGCUCUUGGAUGGGCUCAUGUCCUAUCAGCUUGUUGGUGAGGAACGGCUCACCAAGGCUUCGACGGGUAGCUGGUCUGAGAGGACAAUCAGCCACACUGGCACUGCGACACGGGCCAGACUCCUACGGGAGGCAGCAGUAAGGAAUAUUGCGCAAUGGGCGAAAGCCUGA
This 366-nucleotide ribosomal RNA is filed under the name uncultured bacterium. RNAcentral's name for it is "bacterial SSU rRNA". It matches the Rfam family "Bacterial small subunit ribosomal RNA", at positions 29 to 386 of the family's 1533-position model. The record is from RNAcentral.